This 45-nucleotide non-coding RNA is filed under the name Schistosoma haematobium. The record is from RNAcentral. Lineage: Eukaryota; Metazoa; Platyhelminthes; Trematoda; Strigeidida; Schistosomatidae.
AUCUAACUGAUGAGUCCCAAAUAGGAUGAAAUAUACGUCUUGGUU